RNAcentral lists this ribosomal RNA (252 nucleotides) under uncultured bacterium. RNAcentral describes it as "partial 16S ribosomal RNA". It matches the Rfam family "Bacterial small subunit ribosomal RNA", at positions 524 to 776 of the family's 1533-position model. The record is from RNAcentral.
UACGGAGGAUGCGAGCGUUAUCCGGAUUUAUCGGGUUUAAAGGGUGCGUAGGCGGGUUAUCAAGUCAGCGGUAAAAUCGUGGAGCUCAACUCCAUCCAGCCGUUGAAACUGAUGAUCUUGAGUGGGCGAGAAGUAUGCGGAAUGCGUGGUGUAGCGGUGAAAUGCAUAGAUAUCACGCAGAACUCCGAUUGCGAAGGCAGCAUACCGGCGCCCGACUGACGCUGAAGCACGAAAGCGUGGGUAUCGAACAGG